RNAcentral lists this ribosomal RNA (1359 nucleotides) under uncultured prokaryote. Its description in RNAcentral is "partial 16S ribosomal RNA". It matches the Rfam family "Bacterial small subunit ribosomal RNA". The record is from RNAcentral.
UGCAGUCGAACGGGGUUCAGGGUUCGGCCUGGACUUACCUGGCGCACGGGUGAGUAACGCGUGGGUAUCUGCCCUGGGGUGGGGGAUAACCGCUGGAAACGGCGGCUAAUACCGCAUACGCCCUACGGGGGAAAGCCGAGAGGCGCUCUGGGAGGAGCCCGCGUCCGAUUAGCUUGUUGGUGGGGUAACGGCCCACCAAGGCUUCGAUCGGUAGCUGGUCUGAGAGGAUGAUCAGCCACACUGGGACUGAGACACGGCCCAGACUCCUACGGGAGGCAGCAGUGGGGAAUAUUGGACAAUGGGCGCAAGCCUGAUCCAGCCAUGCCGCGUGAGUGAAGAAGGCCUUAGGGUUGUAAAGCUCUUUCACCGGUGAAGAUGAUGACGGUACCCGCAGAAUAAGCCCCGGCUAACUUCGUGCCAGCAGCCGCGGUAAUACGAAGGGGGCUAGCGUUGCUCGGAAUGACUGGGCGUAAAGGGCGCGUAGGCGGAUUGUACAGUCAGGGGUGAAAGUCCUGGGCUCAACCUGGGGACUGCCUUUGAAACUGAUAUUCUUGAGACCGGGAGAGGAUGGCGGAAUUCCCAGUGUAGAGGUGAAAUUCGUAGAUAUUGGGAAGAACACCGGUGGCGAAGGCGGCCAUCUGGACCGGAUCUGACGCUGAGGCGCUAAAGCGUGGGGAGCAAACAGGAUUAGAUCCCCUGGUAGUCCACGCCGUAAACGAUGUGUGCUAGCCGUUGGGGCACUUAGUGUUUCAGUGGCGCAGCUAACGCGUUAAGCACUCCGCCUGGGGAGUACGGCCGCAAGGUUAAAACUCAAAGGAAGUGACGGGGGCCCGCACAAGCGGUGGAGCAUGUGGUUUAAUUCGAAGCAACGCGCAGAACCUUACCAGCCCUUGACAUGCCCGUUUCGGCCUCGAGAUGGAUCCUUUCGGUUCGGCCGGACAGGAUACAGGUGCUGCAUGGCUGUCGUCAGCUCGUGUCGUGAGAUGUUGGGUUAAGUCCCGCAACGAGCGCAACCCUCGCCCUUAGUUACCAUCGGUUCGGCCGGGCACUUUGGGGAAACUGCCGGUGACAAGCCGGAGGAAGGCGGGGAUGACGUCAAGUCCUCAUGGCCCUUACGGGCUGGGCUACACACGUGCUACAAUGGCGGUGACAGCGGGCAGCGAAGGGGCGACCUGGAGCCAAUCCCCAAAAGCCGUCUCAGUUCGGAUUGUACUCUGCAACUCGAGUGCAUGAAGUUGGAAUCGCUAGUAAUCGCGGCUCAGCAUGCCGCGGUGAAUACGUUCCCGGGCCUUGUACACACCGCCCGUCACACCAUGGGAGUUGGUUUUACCCGAAGCCGGUGAGCUAACCGCAAGGAGG